This is a long non-coding RNA of Globicephala melas (long-finned pilot whale), 386 nucleotides long. RefSeq lists it as uncharacterized. The record is from RefSeq and is a predicted model, not a curated record. NCBI's taxonomy places the organism in Eukaryota, Metazoa, Chordata, Mammalia, Artiodactyla, Delphinidae.
GGAAGGGGAGAGAGGCAUUUCAUCCUUACCGGGACAUAGAGUUCGAAGAAGACCCGCCUCCUGCAGACCCGGAAUUCGACCCCUCGAGAGCGGCUCGGGCCGCACCGGCACCCGGCCGGUGCGAGGACGCAGGUGGCUCCUCUUUGUCCUUCAGAUCUUGCCUUCAAUGCCAACUCUUUAGGGAGGCCUUUCCUGACCGCCUUAUCCAAAGAAGCAUCCCCACUAGGGCAGAAUAAUGCCCCUCCUGCAAAGAUGGACGAGUCGUAAGCUCAGCACCCAGCAUGUACCGUCUGGCACAGAGGAGCCGUUCAACGUAUCGUGAGUGAAAUAGUGGAGUGAAAUAGCAUCUUAAUUUUCGUUGCACCAAUGUGAAGUCUGAAACAAAA